AGAGUUUGAUCAUGGCUCAGGAUGAACGCUAGCUACAGGCUUAACACAUGCAAGUCGAGGGGCAGCAUGUUGGUUGCUUGCAACCAAUGAUGGCGACCGGCGCACGGGUGAGUAACGCGUAUCCAACCUACCCUUGUCCAUCGGAUAACCCGUCGAAAGGCGGCCUAACACGAUAUGCGGUUCUCAGCAGGCAUCUAACGAGAACGAAAUGUGAAGGAGAAGGAUGGGGAUGCGUCUGAUUAGCUUGUUGGCGGGGUAACGGCCACCAAGGCGACGAUCAGUAGGGUUCUGACGAGGAAGGUCCCCCANAUUGGAACUGAGACACGGUCCAAACUCCUACGGGAGCA
This 347-nucleotide ribosomal RNA is filed under the name uncultured bacterium. RNAcentral describes it as "bacterial SSU rRNA". It matches the Rfam family "Bacterial small subunit ribosomal RNA", at positions 8 to 349 of the family's 1533-position model. The record is from RNAcentral.